RNAcentral lists this ribosomal RNA (497 nucleotides) under uncultured bacterium. RNAcentral describes it as "partial 16S ribosomal RNA". It matches the Rfam family "Bacterial small subunit ribosomal RNA", at positions 28 to 507 of the family's 1533-position model. The record is from RNAcentral.
GACGAACGCUGGCGGCGUGCCUAAUACAUGCAAGUAGAACGCUGAAACUUGGUGCUUGCACCGAGCGGAUGAGUUGCGAACGGGUGAGUAACGCGUAGGUAACCUGCCUGGUAGCGGGGGAUAACUAUUGGAAACGAUAGCUAAUACCGCAUAAGAGUAGAUGUUGCAUGACAUUUGCUUAAAAGGUGCAAUUGCACCACUACCAGAUGGACCUGCGUUGUAUUAGCUAGUUGGUGGGGUAACGGCUCACCAAGGCGACGAUACAUAGCCGACCUGAGAGGGUGAUCGGCCACACUGGGACUGAGACACGGCCCAGACUCCUACGGGAGGCAGCAGUAGGGAAUCUUCGGCAAUGGACGGAAGUCUGACCGAGCAACGCCGCGUGAGUGAAGAAGGUUUUCGGAUCGUAAAGCUCUGUUGUAAGAGAAGAACGAGUGCGAGAGUGGAAAGUUCACACUGUGACGGUAUCUUACCAGAAAGGGACGGCUAACUACGUG